GACGAACCGUGCGAACGUUGUUCGGAAUCACUGGGCUUAAAGGGCGCGUAGGCGGGCUGACAAGUCUGGGGUGAAAUGCCGCGGCUCAACCGUGGAACUGCCUUAGAUACUGUCGGCCUCGAGGAAGGUAGGGGCAUGCGGAACUGUAGGUGGAGCGGUGAAAUGCGUUGAUAUCUACAGGAACGCCGGUGGCGAAAGCGGCGUGCUGGACCUUUUCUGACGCUGAGGCGCGAAAGCUAGGGGAGCAAACGGG
This 253-nucleotide ribosomal RNA is filed under the name uncultured bacterium. Its description in RNAcentral is "partial 16S ribosomal RNA". It matches the Rfam family "Bacterial small subunit ribosomal RNA", at positions 524 to 776 of the family's 1533-position model. The record is from RNAcentral.